AUUAAAUUUUCUUUUGUUUUAUUCUCUAGUCAGGCCCUCAUUCUCUCUCUACACCUUGUAGAGGGCAAAGGGUGAUUCUGUUUUCCACUUUUUAAUUUUGACCACCACCGGCAACUCUCACCACCACCACCGGCGACUCCUGGCGGCCACCACCACCGCCGGCGACCAACCCUUCGUGAUACCACAGCACGCGAAAAGCACAACAACACCAGCACGCGAAAAUUGCGACGACAAAUUCCAUGGCAUCAUUUGUGAAGAUCAGCGAUGUUCAUUUUAGGAAGAUAAGGGGUACCUCGGGUUCAAAUGUUGCGGUUGCGGUGCUUUAUUGCAGCAGUGCAAUCCCUUCUGAAGGCAUUGAGUUGGCCGACAUAGAUCUUACCCUCAGUCCCAAUGCUCUGAAGAAGUUUCCUUUGUCUGUGACAGGCUAUUCUAAAACAUUCAGUAGAGGGAAGCAAAAUCCCCCGGCUUGCCGAUAGAUUCUCAUUCAAAGGAACUGUGCAAUUUUGGAUACAAUGUCGCGUUGAACAGAGACCAGUUACACUUUAAAACAAAGUGACUGUAGGAAUGUUGUAUUAAGAAUUCCAGAUUCUUUCUUUCAAUGAAAUAUGAAUUCCAAAUUCUUUCUUACAAA
Long non-coding RNA from Rhododendron vialii, 631 nucleotides. RefSeq lists it as uncharacterized. The transcript is spliced from 2 exons. The record is from RefSeq and is a predicted model, not a curated record. NCBI's taxonomy places the organism in Eukaryota, Viridiplantae, Streptophyta, Magnoliopsida, Ericales, Ericaceae.